GAGAUAGCUGGUUCUCUCCGAAAUAGCUUUAGGGCUAGCCUCAAGUGAUGAUUAUUGGAGGUAGAGCACUGUUUGGACGAGGGGCCCCUCUCGGGUUACCGAAUUCAGACAAACUCCGAAUGCCAAUUAAUUUAACUUGGGAGUCAGAACAUGGGUGAUAAGGUCCGUGUUCGAAAGGGAAACAGCCCAGACCACCAGCUAAGGUCCCAAAAUAUAUGUUAAGUGGAAAAGGAUGUGGCGUUGCCCAGACAACUAGGAUGUUGGCUUAGAAGCAGCCAUCAUUUAAAGAGUGCGUAAUAGCUCACUAGUCGAGUGACACUGCGCCGAAAAUGUACCGGGGCUAAACAUAUUACCGAAGCUGUGGAUUGUCCUUUGGACAAUGGUAGGAGAGCGUUCUAAGGGCGUUGAAGCAUGAUCGUAAGGACAUGUGGAGCGCUUAGAAGUGAGAAUGCCGGUGUGAGUAGCGAAAGACGGGUGAGAAUCCCGUCCACCGAUUGACUAAGGUUUCCAGAGGAAGGCUCGUCCGCUCUGGGUUAGUCGGGUCCUAAGCUGAGGCCGACAGGCGUAGGCGAUGGAUAACAGGUUGAUAUUCCUGUACCACCUAUAAUCGUUUUA
Molecule: ribosomal RNA, 615 nt
Filed under: Staphylococcus aureus
Lineage: Bacteria; Bacillati; Bacillota; Bacilli; Caryophanales; Staphylococcaceae
Description: partial 23S ribosomal RNA
Rfam family: Bacterial large subunit ribosomal RNA
Source: RNAcentral